RNAcentral lists this ribosomal RNA (465 nucleotides) under Vreelandella stevensii. RNAcentral's name for it is "partial 16S ribosomal RNA". It matches the Rfam family "Bacterial small subunit ribosomal RNA", at positions 338 to 795 of the family's 1533-position model. Lineage: Bacteria; Pseudomonadati; Pseudomonadota; Gammaproteobacteria; Oceanospirillales; Halomonadaceae. The record is from RNAcentral.
CCUACGGUGGGCAGCAGUGGGGAAUAUUGGACAAUGGGCGAAAGCCUGAUCCAGCCAUGCCGCGUGUGUGAAGAAGGCCUUCGGGUUGUAAAGCACUUUCAGUGGGGAAGAAAGCCUUGGGGCUAAUACCCUCGAGGAAGGACAUCACCCACAGAAGAAGCACCGGCUAACUCCGUGCCAGCAGCCGCGGUAAUACGGAGGGUGCGAGCGUUAAUCGGAAUUACUGGGCGUAAAGCGCGCGUAGGCGGUCUGAUAAGCCGGUUGUGAAAGCCCCGGGCUCAACCUGGGAACGGCAUCCGGAACUGUCAGGCUAGAGUGCAGGAGAGGAAGGUAGAAUUCCCGGUGUAGCGGUGAAAUGCGUAGAGAUCGGGAGGAAUACCAGUGGCGAAGGCGGUCUUCUGGACUGACACUGACGCUGAGGUGCGAAAGCGUGGGUAGCAAACAGGAUUAGAUACCCGGGUAGUC